RNAcentral lists this ribosomal RNA (497 nucleotides) under uncultured bacterium. Its description in RNAcentral is "partial 16S ribosomal RNA". It matches the Rfam family "Bacterial small subunit ribosomal RNA", at positions 28 to 507 of the family's 1533-position model. The record is from RNAcentral.
GACGAACGCUGGCGGCGUGCCUAAUACAUGCAAGUAGAACGCUGAAGAGAGGAGCUUUCUCUUCGUGGAUGAGGUGCGGACGGGUGAUGAAUGCGUAGUUAACCUGCCGGGUACUGGUGCAUAACUAUUGGAAGCGAUAGCUAAUACCGCAGAAAAUUGAUUGUUUCAUGAUAAUUAAUUGAAAGAUGCAACUGCAUCACGACCAGAUGGACCUGAGUUGUAUUAGCUAGUUGGUGAGGUAACGGCUCACCAAGGCGACGAGACAUAGCCCACCUCAGAGGGUGAUCGGCCACACUGGGAGUGAGACACGGCCCAGACUCCUACGGGAGGCAGCAGUAGGGAAUCUUCGGCAAUGGGGGGAACCCUGACCGAGCCACGCCGCGUGAGUGAAGAAGGUUUUCGGAUCGUAAAGCUCUGUUGUAAGAGAAGAACGGGUGUGAGAGUGGAAAGUUCACACUGUGACGGUAUCUUACCAGAAAGGGACGGCUAACUACGUG